UAGAAUUUUAUUUUUUAGUCAAAAAGCUAAAAUUUAUUUAAAAGACGAGAAGACCCUAUAAAUCUUUAUAUUUAUAUUAUUAUAAUUUUUUAGAUUCUUUUUAUUAUGAUAAUAGAUUAUAUUUUAUUGGGGUGAUAUUAAAAUUUAAUAAACUUUUAAUUGUUUAAAUCAUUAAUUUAUGAAUAA
RNAcentral lists this ribosomal RNA (186 nucleotides) under Lucilia sericata (common green bottle fly). Its description in RNAcentral is "partial large subunit ribosomal RNA". Lineage: Eukaryota; Metazoa; Arthropoda; Insecta; Diptera; Calliphoridae. The record is from RNAcentral.